AACCCAUAUUGUCCACGAUGCUGC
Molecule: non-coding RNA, 24 nt
Filed under: Arabidopsis thaliana (thale cress)
Lineage: Eukaryota; Viridiplantae; Streptophyta; Magnoliopsida; Brassicales; Brassicaceae
Source: RNAcentral